Long non-coding RNA from Mauremys reevesii (Reeves's turtle), 2914 nucleotides. RefSeq lists it as uncharacterized. Lineage: Eukaryota; Metazoa; Chordata; Testudines; Geoemydidae. The record is from RefSeq and is a predicted model, not a curated record. The transcript has 5 exons.
AUUCUUUGAUCAUAAAUGAUAUCCCUUCUGAAAAGAAGCUUUUGACUCCCAUGCUCUGAGAUUCAUAUACUGUAAUCAGAAAGUCCUUUGUAAGCAGUUUUGACUUCAGAUUAUAAUAGCACAAAGGAAACCGAAGAGCUGUCUGAACUGUGCAUGAGGCUAAUUCCCACAGAGUGUGGCUCAACCUUGGCCUUGUUGGACCCUCUAAUAUUGACAGCACAAUUCAGUUUCUCUUCUGACUUUGUAACUGGCAGCAUCUGAAGCCACAAGAGUGCCAGUGAGUGGUGGUGGUGUUUUUUGUGACAGAAGAUCUUGGACACAAUGCUUCAGUACUUGUUAGAAUUUGUUUUUGAAGAACAUCUUCCCCAGAGGUUUCUACAAUAUGGCGUUCUUAGAAAGUGCCUAGUGCAAAACCCAGUGAAGUCAAUGUGGAAUCUAGCCAGCUCUGACAACAUACUGAAAUGUGAUGAAGGCAGGAGCAAGGAGCAUGGAGCACAGACAGGCACCUGUGAUUAAGUUAAAUGCUAUAUUAAUAGUAAUGUGGAAGUAACACAGAUGCAGUAUUAUUUGUAUUGGGGUAUUACAUAGCCCUAGUCAUGGACUGGUGCCCCAUUAUGCUAGCCACUGUACAAUGACAAAACAAAAAGAUGGUCCCUGCCUCAGAGACAGUUGGUACUCCUUCUAGAUAUAGCAAGACUGAAAGUAUUAGGUUUAAGUGACUUCAAGGACCAAGCAGGCCCUGUGAUGCCAGUCUCAAAUUUGUAGAGCCCUAUGUGGAUACAAAAUGUAUAUCCAUGGAUGAGGAUACCUACCGGGAACCGCAGUGGCGAAAGCAGCUGCUCCCAGGAUCCAGUGCCCCAUACCGGCAGCUCCUCUGGAGUGGCUGUACUACCCUCAGUCCCACUCACUGCACUAGCACAACCAGGGACAGCCCACCCCAGUGGGCGGGGCUGGGGCAGCAACACUGGAGGAGCUACAGGCAAGGGACAUUGGCUUCUGGGAACGGCAGCUCAUCAGGCUGCUGCUUUCGCCACUGCAGUUCCCAAAAGAGUCCUGCAGCUCCAUGGAUACUGAUUUAUAUCCACAUCCACAGAUAUAAAUUGUGCAUCUGUGCAGGGCUCUACAAAUUUUCUCUUUACUAAUCCAAAAACUUGGUUAUGACAAAAUCUGCAAAAGAAUCUCUACCUCCAUUUUCACUAGUUUCAUUAUACAUCCAUGCUCCUGGGUAGCCAUGUUUUUGUUCCUUCCUGUAUAAUGACGUUAGUUACAAUUAAAGUCCCAUUAUCACAGAGAUUUGACUUUACUGUUAGCAUUUCCAGCUUAGCGGAACAAACUGGAAAGACAUGUUAGAUAACUUCUGACAAAGCAGUCUGAAGAAUUCAGUCUUUGAACCAACAGAGAAUCGUUUUGUAAUUCGUUACCUCUUUAUCAGACAGAAAAUGGCUUUUUUGGCAAAACAUAUUUAAGUCACAUUUUCUUCUCAGAAUGAAUUAAAUCCCUUUAACUACUUGAAUACUAUGCUAUUGGGGUAUGCUGAGAAUAUGUAUACAAAGGUACAAUCCAUUUUGAACAUGGAAUGUUAAAGAUAUUGACCAGGGCGUAUCGUGUUCAUAGAAAGUAAACUCUACAUGAUGCCUUCUCUCCAAUCAACCUGACUUUUGAGUCACAAAAGUUAUACCAGUAACCAGACUUCUCAAGUUCAGGGGAAUUCAGAUUUAGAGCUUUGGAUCUGAGAAAAAUGGGCAGUACACAUUUAUGUAGUUAUAUUUUGCACCUCUCUACGUUUAAAGUUACUCAUCUCUCAAAUGGGGUUAAUUCCUUACCUGCCACAAAGGAAUAUUGUGAGGAUUAAUAGAUACUGUUUUGUACCAUGAUUUGAGGAUGCAAUGUGUUAGAUAAUGCUUAGUAAUAUUAGUUAAUAUUGUUUUGCAGCGCUAUAUGGCUAAAGUUAGGAGCAGGUAAAAAUGGAUGGGGGACACUAUGAAUGUAGGACCAGAUUCUGACUGGCCUCUGCAUGGGGCCUCUUUUCCCUUUGUAGGCACCACACAAGGGACUAUCACAGUUGCACUCCCAGAACUUAGGGGUAAUGUGAAGACCACUUUCUCCAUCUGCCCAUGGGCUACAUGUUACCCCAAAGGAGGGAUAGGAGAGAGUGAAGGCUAUGGCCCUACCCCUCCCUCCACAUUAGUCCAUGAAGGGACCCUCUGAGGCAAAACCCCUCACUUAUUUCUCUUGAGGCAGUGCCAAUACUUACUUAUACUCAGGGCUAAAUGGCACAAGUUAGACCAUAAGAUAUAUCCAUUAAGAAGCAGAAGAUCUAUUUUCCCCUCAGUAGUAUUAUUUGCCUACAUGCACUCUCUAUAUUCAUUUGACAACAAGGAUCAGGGACUGCAUCUUUAGUGUGUAACAUUUUAAAAAGUGUAUUUGGAGAGUUGUUAGCAUCUGUUGUUCUCCCUAAUUUUUAACUCUGGAUGGCGAACAUUUUAAGACUACAGGCAACCCCAAGGCUAUGUUUCCAUUGGUAAUUCUGCAUAUUUUUACUUAUCAGUAUGUAAUAAUGUUCAGAUUUAAAGCAAAUGGAACUUUGUUUUUUUUGCUAUUUCAAAUGUAAACCAAUUAUGCCAGUAAAAAUGUUAGCUACGCAAUUAUAAUUUAUUUCAAAAAGUGUAUCAGAGGAAGAUACAUUCAUGAAAUGCCCCAUGAAAUCCAAAUGUACAUGCACACAGAACAUCUGAAUUUUAAACCCUUGCCUAUAUUUGGAUGUAACUCUGAUUCCUAUUAUAAACUGUCAGUACUAUAGUACAUGUUUAACCUUGAACAACCAUCAAGGGAAUGCGUUUAACAAAUGUAGGAUCCCAGCACUAUAACCAACAUUGUAAAAUAUGGUUUAUUAUUUUAUGAAACUAUGGGCUUU